UGGCGGCUGUAGCGCGGUGGUCCCACCUGACCCCAUGCCGAACUCAGAAGUGAAACGCCGUAGCGCCGAUGGUAGUGUGGGGUCUCCCCAUGCGAGAGUAGGGAACUGCCAGGC
This 114-nucleotide ribosomal RNA is filed under the name Citrobacter freundii. RNAcentral also lists the same sequence under 7 other names. The record is from RNAcentral. Lineage: Bacteria; Pseudomonadati; Pseudomonadota; Gammaproteobacteria; Enterobacterales; Enterobacteriaceae.